This 429-nucleotide ribosomal RNA is filed under the name Verrucomicrobiota bacterium. RNAcentral's name for it is "Verrucomicrobia bacterium partial 16S ribosomal RNA". It matches the Rfam family "Bacterial small subunit ribosomal RNA", at positions 355 to 776 of the family's 1533-position model. Lineage: Bacteria; Pseudomonadati; Verrucomicrobiota. The record is from RNAcentral.
UAGGGAAUCUUCCGCAAUGGACGAAAGUCUGACGGAGCAACGCCGCGUGAGUGAAGAAGGAUUUCGGUUCGUAAAACUCUGUUGUUAGGGAAGAAAAAAUGUAUAGUAACUAUAUACAAAAGAGACGGUACCUAACCAGAAAGCCACGGCUAACUACGUGCCAGCAGCCGCGGUAAUACGUAGGUGGCAAGCGUUGUCCGGAAUUAUUGGGCGUAAAGCGCGCGCAGGUGGUUUAGAAAGUCUGAUGUGAAAGCCCACGGCUCAACCGUGGAGGGUCAUUGGAAACUAAUAAACUUGAGUGCAGGAGAGGAAAGUGGAAUUCCUAGUGUAGCGGUGAAAUGCGUAGAGAUUAGGAGGAACACCGGUGGCGAAAGCGGCUUUUUUGCCGGCAACUGACACUGAGGCGCGAAAGCGUGGGGAGCAAACAGG